Molecule: ribosomal RNA, 371 nt
Filed under: unidentified archaeon
Lineage: Archaea
Description: bacterial SSU rRNA
Rfam family: Archaeal small subunit ribosomal RNA
Source: RNAcentral
UCAGUAACACGUAGUCAACCUAACUCGUGGACGUGGAUAAUCUCGGGAAACUGAGGAUAAACCACGAUAGAUAACGGUGCCUGGAAUGGCCCAUUGUCGAAAUAGUUUACUGCCACGGGAUGGGACUGCGGCCUAUCAGCUUGUUGGUGGGUAAUGGCCCACCAAACCUGUAACCGGUACGGGCUUUGAGAGAAGGAGCCCGGAGAUGGACACUGAGGACAAGGGUCCAGGCCCUACCGGGGCGCAUCAGGCAGACUGAAAACUUCGCAAUGCGCGAAUAGUCGUGAACGAGGCUAGUCACGAGUGCUUCCUGCCUAAAGGGAGCCUUUCUCGGCUGUAAAUAGCCGGGGAAUAAGGGGAGGGCAAGUCUG